GUGGGAGUGAGGGCGGGUUGUUCUGUGUCACCCCCUCCUGCCCUCUUUUCUAGAGCAGUGAUCAAGGGGGUACAUACAUUGCUGGCUGCAGCAAAGAGCCUCCCCCCCUCGCUUCCUGCUAGGCCCCAGAGGUGGCCAUGGGGUAAAUGGUCCCCAGCAGUGUGAGCACCAGGGUUGCAGAUCAGGACCCACUUACCCUGCUCGUGCUGUGACCAGAGGCCUGAAGACCACCCUGGGUUCAGUGUGUGUAACUUCAAAGCAGCGACUUUGCCUUUUAUUGGAAGCCCCACGCAAAUCACAAGCCUCCAAGGCAUUUAUUAAGUGCCCGUGUCUCCUUCGUCUAUGUUGACACCUGACCAAAGAGUUACAUUUAAAAAUUUCACUGACUGACUUAUACCCUGCCCCAUUUCCAAAGCAGAUGACAAUACAACCCCAGGUACAAGUAAGGCCAGGAACAUUUACCCAAGACAAAGGAGGGAAACAAAGGCAGAGAAUUAUGCCCAGCCUCAGCCUUUCAGGAAGGUAAAAAUCUAAGGCUUCAUUCUCUGGAUGUCUUUAAACUUCGCCAAGAUGUAAGGGCUACUUUUAUUUCGUUCUGCAAAACUCCUCCACCCCCAUCAGAAAGGCAGUACCCCCUUGUGGCCAAGCUUUAGUCCCAUUUAGAGGAAUGUUGCAGGGUGGCUGGCCACUGCAGGGGGCCAGGCAGGCAGGGUGUCUGUCACCGGCCAGCGGUCCCUGCCCUUCUGGCCACCGCUGCCAAAAGCUUGGGUAGGUUUGUGUUUCCCAGCUGAGCCUCCACGCUGCCGAUGGCCUUCCAAGUUGUGCCCUGGCCUGGUUUGUGGUGCAUCCUCAUUUCACUAAUGGAAAUGAAGGUAACAGCAGUCUCCUCCCGCCUCCGUCCAGUUGUGGCCUUUCCUAAGAGGACAAACCUGCUGAAGGACACAGAGACCAUGUCACCCACAAGAGGUCCACACCAGAAGAGGAGAGAGCCCCAUUCUGCUAACUCCUUCCGAAAGCCUGGGACCCUGUGCACAGUAGCCUUUGGAAGACAGGCGAGCUGGCUCUACCUGUCUUGCAGAUUCAGAAUCUAGGUCAUUCUGCUCCCUCCCCUCCUCCUCUGGAAGACAAGCCAGAUUUCUCCUAGGGUCUCAGAAGGAGAGAGGGGACGGCAGGAGAAAAUGCUUUAGCGGGACCCACACCCUGCCUGCUGC
RNAcentral lists this long non-coding RNA (1211 nucleotides) under Sus scrofa (pig). Its description in RNAcentral is "lncRNA (ENSSSCG00050012499.1)". The record is from RNAcentral. Lineage: Eukaryota; Metazoa; Chordata; Mammalia; Artiodactyla; Suidae.